Falco peregrinus (peregrine falcon) is the source of this 4299-nucleotide RNA transcript. It is a transcript of the gene named extracellular leucine rich repeat and fibronectin type III domain containing 1, with no coding region annotated. The transcript has 4 exons. NCBI's taxonomy places the organism in Eukaryota, Metazoa, Chordata, Aves, Falconiformes, Falconidae. The record is from RefSeq and is a predicted model, not a curated record.
GGAGCUGCAGCCCUUCUCUUCUCGGAGGCCGGCUCCAGCGUCGGGAUUUGCUCGGCUCCGGCUGCGUUUCCCUGCCCGCCUCCUGCCCCCGGCCCGCCCGCCUGGGAGGGCGCGGGGAGCCGCAGCCGCGGGUGCGCCCGCCGCCCAUCACCGCGCCUCGGGGCCGGGCGCGUCGCCGAGCGCCGGGGGCCGCCGCCGGAGCAGCUCCAACUCUGAUCAGUGCAUAAAUCUACCUGCAACACAGGAUGUUGGAAAAUUACCGAGAGACAGCAACGUCCUCCCCACUGCUUGGUGAGAAAGGAAGGAUGCACCUUCAGUUCAAAUACUGGGCUUGGUGACCACCUUGCGGGAUCCUGAAUGCUGCGCCCCGUGUGCCUCCCAGCCCCUGCAGACAACUGCUAGGAGACAUUCAUGACCGUAGCAAGAACCAGCAGUGACACACAGGCACAAAGGGAGAUGAGUCGGGAGCUGCUGUGAGUGCCCCUGCUCAUGUCCUUCCUUGUGGGAUGCUCAGCGCUUGGCUGAUGUCGCAGCACACACGCAGACACGCACCCAUGCGCACCCGUGUCGGAGUGAUGCUGGGAAGAAGACUUUCAGAAGCCAACAAGACGAACAAUUAUGCCUACUGUGCAAAGAAACAAGACCCACUCCUCCACUCCACAGUCAUGUCCUGGCAAUCUAAUAAAGAGGGAGAUUAGCCCCUCUUUCCUCUCUUACGUCUCUUUAAUGCUGUCAUUUUAUUCACACUUUGCAAAGCAAAUAAACCAGCAAAUUGCUUGCUUUAAUGAGCUGAAAUUAAACUCAGGCUGCUGAUAAAAUGCUUUUUCUCCUUUCUGUUGUUGGGAAGGACUCAUCUGAUAGGCAAUGUACAGGAAAAAAGAGAAAACACACAGCAGGAGCCUUAUUGAACGUGUUUGAGUAGUUACCAUUGCUCUUCUUCAUCCCUGACACCUCCAAUUAGAUGAGAGAGGGACACAGGUGAUGAGAAGGCUAUCAGAUAUCAACCUGGCAAGGUCCGUGGAGAGUCUGUCUCUGCUCUUUGCUCACAUGGAUGGUCCCACUCCCCUAGCUAACACCCUUUGACAUAGGCUGCAGCCCACAGCCUCCCCAGGGAGGAGUGACAAGAAACCUUCCUGUGCCAGAAAAAGGCUAGUUUGACUCUGCAGAGCAAUCCAAACCACAGGUUUGCCCAGAGAGGAUAGUUAGGUCAAAAUGGGAGUUAGAGGAGACAGAAUAAGUGCCUGCUAAAGAGAGUAUGCCAAGAUGCAUCACUCCCUGCUGCCUGUGCUGUCUCAGUUUGGCAGGGCUUCCCCUGCCUGUGGGAGGUCCCCAUAAUGCACAAGCCCAUGGAAGAAGACGGGGAGAUGGUCACACCAAGGGCAGGCACUGCAGGGCAGCAGGCAAGGAAAGCACCCUCUGUGCCAUCCCAAAGGGACAACCGGGGCAAGCCAUUGCUUAUGGCUCUGCAGGCCAGGACGACACUUCUCCCACACCCUUAGAGGCCAUGUGCACCUCCACGGGAGGCAGGCUGAGGGCUGGAGACCGGGCUGGAGACCAGGCUGGUCCCUGUGGCAGAGGAAAGCAGGCACAUCUAGAGCCCAGCCUGCAGCUGGAAGGGGAGAAAGUCCCCACCUGCAGCACAAUGUGUGUGCUGGGAUUUUCAUCCUAACAAGAGGUGCUCAGGGCAUUUUCCUUGUCUCCCACAGUCCUCUGAAGCACUAUCAUUAUCUCAUGGUACCGGAGAGGAGGCUGGAGCACAGCGAGGUUAAUUGAGUUGCCCAGUGCCAGGAGGGAUGUAGCAGCAGACAGACGUCUUUCAGCAUGGCACUGCAGCCCGUGCCUCCCCACCAGCUGGGGGGAUGGUAAGGGGGGACAUUCAUAUGCAGUGCCCCAGGGAGCACAGUCCCUCUUCCCUUCCUCACUGGCUCCAAGGAUUCAGCUACACCAAAAUGGGCUGCCAGGUCCUGGCAAAGCAUCCCAGGGCAGGGACAGCACAUCCUUAUAAAUGUGCUCCUGCCAGUGCAGCAGGUACAGUUCCCCACAACAGGGUUACCUACAGUAUCAGUAUCACUGUGGUGCUAUGAGGGCUUCAGCUGGAACAGCAACGUAAAAGCAUGCUAAAGUCCAGGUUUCUACCCCCAGGAAAGAGGAGAGGUGAGAUUCAGCUGCCUUACCCUCAGCAUCUCUUCCACCAAGCUCCACUUCUAGACUAAACUUUUGAAAAUCUGGUUUUGUUGAGCUUUCUGCCAUACGUAGCUGGGCUAGGACAGCACCAUUCGCUGGGGAGGCAAAGACCUGCAAGUACCAGGCAGGGCUCGACAGAAGCAUCGCCUUAGGGCCAGAACAUCCCACCAUGUGUGACUGCACAGCUGCUGCAGGCAGUACAGUCUUCCAGAAGGGUGUAGUGCACACCCUGCCUUCUGGGGGGGCACUGAGUGUCUGCCUGUUGUUUUCCCCCACAGCCUCACCUCCCCGAGCAGCUGGUGGGGUGUCUGCUGGAGGACAAGGUGGCUGGAGAGUCUCAUGUGCAGGGAGCUGACGUGAGAGCAGAUCUUGUUAUUCAUGUAAUAGAAACCCAGCUAGACCACCAGGGAAUAGACUCAUUGUACACAAUGCAGGAAGAACAAAUAAACUGUUUUGCUGCUGAUUAUUACUGGCCUGUUUACUGAGGUAUAAACUGUGGAUGGUUAACAGCAAUCUCUGCAGUGAAACAUGGUCUGCUUCAUUGCCUGGUACUGUGGGUGGAAAAGAACAUGGUUUCUUCAGGACAGGGUGAGGGUAUGGCAUCUGCAUCUAAACACCCCUUGACAAUCAGCCUCACACAAUUUUCGGGCAUGCAGCACCAAGCACAGUCCCUUCACUGCCUGGGCACUGGGGAAUGGUUUGGAAACCAAUUUCUGGAUUUAUACUAUUUUGCAGAUCCAAUGAAAGGCAAUUUAGAUGUAAGAUGUGCCCCUGUCUCCUUCAUGGAUGCCCAAGAAACCUCCAGUUCCUACCAGCUGUGUUUUCAAGGAGUACUGGUGGUGUCUUCCCUGCCUCCUACAGUCUGCCCUGGGACAAGGGAGACAAUCAGAGCUCCUGUUCCCAACAAAAUCCCAAGAAGGAUUUUUCUAGGUAGGCCAUGAUGUUUUUUCCCCAUUUGUCGGCAACUCCAUCUCUGCUACAACACCUCACUGCAUCUGUCCUACCAGCCCAGAGAGCUGUUUUGCAGCAGAGAUGUCCAUGGAUGAUAUUUGCAACAUCUUGUGAAAAAGUAUGACCCAGGAGAUGCUGAGGCUCAUGCAGUUCCCUCCUCUCUAUGUUCGCCUUCCUGUUUCCCUGAGAAAUUACAAAAGAAGUAGAAGGGCUGUCCAUGGAUAUUUAUAUUAAGUCAAAAAUGCAGGAAAAAUAAUGGAAAAUGUAAACCAGGAAUGAGAAUUUUUCUGCGGGAAGUGAGGUUGCUGGCAGCACCAUAGGUUUGUGUCUGGUGAAGACUUCCUGGUGUUCAAACAGUUGCUUCUGGCUGUGGAGGGAAGAUCUUGUCCCAUCUUCUGCAAAUACUCUUGUUACACCACUGAAAGGUUGGAGGUUCUUCCCCACCUCUGCAUCAUUUCACCCAAGAGGGAGAGAGAGGUCUUGGAGACAAGCAGCGAGACCCAGCCCCAGACAAGGACGUCAGAUGGUGGACAGUCAUGCUAGCGUGUUUUGCAGUCAGAGAGUGCCCUGGAACUGCUGCUCAGGUUCCCAGAAACAGGAUGAGAGCUCGAUGCUGGGCUUUAUCCUAGAUGCCAGGCAGCAAUGCAGUCAGAGAGACACGGUGUCCUCAACCUGCAUCCCCUUCUGUGGGCACUGCUGCUGUGCACACCAGCACAGGAGACAGUUAGGAUUCCCCUCAGCAAAACACUGCAGCAUCAAAUCUACAUCAGAGUGAGUUGUCUAGACUUCAUCUGCUCUCAGCAGAGAGGAACAGACACUUCUGGGGCAUCACUCCUCCCCUGCUAAGGUAGACACGUAAAUAGGUCAGACAAAUGAUGCCUUGGAUGUGCGUUGGUCUCUCAUCUGCGUAUAACGUGAUGCUGGACAACAAACUCAGAGGAUGACCUCCGCAGUCAAUGACCUCCGCAGUCAAUGACCACCUUCCCUUGUGCUGCCAAGUGCCACUGGUGGCAGCACCCAAUUAAAGUUGAGGUUUAAUUGGCUCCUUGAGAGCUGGUGGCCAGAGCUAGAAGGCGAACACCUAACAUUAAGAGGGCAGUUGGAUGCAUCUCCAACGCCCCUAAGUGCUAAGUGCCUUUCUGUGGUGUUCAGUUUGUGCUUGUG